CGGGACUCUCACGAGGCCUCGUAAUCGGAAUGAGUACACUUUAAAUAUUUUAACGAGGAACAAUUGGAGGGCAAGUCUGGUGCCAGCAGCCGCGGUAAUUCCAGCUCCAAUAGCGUAUACUAAAAUUGUUGCGGUUAAAAAGCUCGUAGUUGCAUUUGUGCGUCGCGCUGUCGCUGCACCACAUCUGUGGUGAUAGUGACACGUCCGCGGAGCAUAUCGUCGGUGAAUGCAGCCGGUCAAACGGCGGUUCAAUAUCAAAAUCCUAUCGCGGUGCUCUUCAGUGAGUGUCGAGAUGGGCCGACAAUUUUACUUUGAACAAAUUAGAGUGCUUAAAGCGGGCUCAAAACGCUGCUUGAAUAUUUCGUGCAUGGAAUAAUAGAAUAUGAUCUCGGUUCUAUUUUGUUGGUUUUCAGAACUCCGAGGUAAUGAUUAAUAGGGAUAACUGGGGGCAUUCGUAUUGCGACGUUAGAGGUGAAAUUCUUGGAUCGUCGCAAGACGAACAUCAGCGAAAGCAUUUGCCAAAGGUGUUUUCAUCAAUCAAGAACGAAAGUUAGAGGUUCGAAGGCGAUUAGAUACCGCCCUAGUUCUAACCGUAAAUAUGUCAUCUAGCGAUCCGCCGACGUUAAUCAAAUGGCUCGGCGGGCAGCUUCCGGGAAACCAAAGAUUUUGGACUCCGGGGGGAGUAUGGUUGCAAAGCUGAAACUUAAAGGAA
RNAcentral lists this ribosomal RNA (712 nucleotides) under Epicephala sp. ex Flueggea suffruticosa. RNAcentral's name for it is "SSU rRNA". It matches the Rfam family "Eukaryotic small subunit ribosomal RNA", at positions 486 to 1152 of the family's 1831-position model. Lineage: Eukaryota; Metazoa; Arthropoda; Insecta; Lepidoptera; Gracillariidae. The record is from RNAcentral.